CAGAACUCUCCUGUGCAACUUCCUCCAGUUAACAGCCAGCCACCCUGAUUGCAUCGCCUCUUACUUGCAUCUCCUUUGUACCACUGUAUCACAGGUGUGUCUUGCACACAUCUCCUGCCUCUGCAAUUGGACUGUAAGCUCUCGAAGUUAUGAAGACAGACUGGCUAAGCAAAGAUGAGACCAGUGACUGGGCGGCCGUACAUUCGUCCAACCUCCACCAGCUGAUGGUAUGCAUAGGAUCCACGCCAGGGCUGCCCACUGAUUCCAUUUCCAUGGGAGAUAGGACAAUAUAUAUUCCAAAAGAAAAAGGUGCUUUGUUAUCUUGAAAGGGGUUUCCCUAACUGCUCAGAGAUGGACCUCUGUAUCUGAAACACGGCCCAGCUCACCCUGAAGUUUGCUCCCUCCCAAUGAGACGUCUGCACCUACCACCUCACAGGAGUCUCAAUCCAGGAGAGUGAUGGCACAUACGAAAGCUUGCGGUUGCUUUUCAUUGCCCUGGAAAUCAGCCUGAAGCACCAACAGUAGAUGGUUGAAAGUCUGAUAGAGGGCCAAAGACUUGAAUAGCUAAAAAAUGGCGUUCUGCAGAAAAGAAUGAGACAUCAGAGUGGGGAGAGCAGAUGCUGAGAGGAAGACAGGGACGAGCAGAUGUUCCUAAAGCGGCGGAGGACAGAAGACACCUAAGAUAACAACAGGGCUGCAGGUGGUCGUGACCAACAUGCUGGAGGACAGGAGGCAGUGGGGUCUGCGGGAGGAUCCCCGGCAGUGCAGACCCCACCCUCACACCCUCCUUUGUCGGCAGACAGAUGGUUGGGUCUGAGUGCACAAGACCAAUUGUCCUGGGCCAAAUAUACCCAAGACCCUCGAAUUGCAGUAGGUUCUCAGGCCCCACUUGAAAAGAAGAUUAAGGAAGUCUGAGGCCGGCUCCACCUGGGAGGGGGCACGCGGAAGCAGAGCAGGGGAGCGCAGAGGCGGCGAGGAACGCAGUGAAGAGAC
Molossus molossus (Pallas's mastiff bat) is the source of this 993-nucleotide long non-coding RNA. RefSeq lists it as uncharacterized. The record is from RefSeq and is a predicted model, not a curated record. Lineage: Eukaryota; Metazoa; Chordata; Mammalia; Chiroptera; Molossidae. The transcript has 5 exons.